RNAcentral lists this microRNA precursor (163 nucleotides) under Pelobates cultripes (western spadefoot toad). Lineage: Eukaryota; Metazoa; Chordata; Amphibia; Anura; Pelobatidae. The record is from RNAcentral.
GUCCGCCCCCUAUACGUCAUCAUUGAGUAAACUUUGACCCGGAACCUAACAGUCAGCAGACACUUCCUGGGAGGGAGGGUCUGCUGCUGAUUGGGUGGAAUGUGUCUGCUGGCUGUGAGGUUCCGGGUCAAAGUUUACUUAAUGAUGACGUAUAGGGGCGGAC